GAUGAACGCUGGCGGCGUGCCUAAUACAUGCAAGUCGAGCGAACAGACGAGGAGCUUGCUCCUCUGACGUUAGCGGCGGACGGGUGAGUAACACGUGGAUAACCUACCUAUAAGACUGGGAUAACUUCGGGAAACCGGAGCUAAUACCGUAUAACAUGUUGAACCGCAUGGUUCAACAGUGAAAGACGGUCUUGCUGUCACUUAUAGAUGGAUCCGCGCCGCAUUAGCUAGUUGGUAAGGUAACGGCUUACCAAGGCAACGAUGCGUAGCCGACCUGAGAGGGUGAUCGGCCACACUGGAACUGAGACACGGUCCAGACUCCUACGGGAGGCAGCAGUAGGGAAUCUUCCGCAAUGGGCGAAAGCCUAACGGAGCAACGCCGCGUGAGUGAAGAAGGUCUUCGGAUCGUAAAACUCUGUUAUUAGGGAAGAACAAAUGUGUAAGUAACUAUGCACGUCUUGACGGUACCUAAUCAGAAAGCCACGGCUAACUACGUG
This 497-nucleotide ribosomal RNA is filed under the name uncultured bacterium. Its description in RNAcentral is "partial 16S ribosomal RNA". It matches the Rfam family "Bacterial small subunit ribosomal RNA", at positions 28 to 507 of the family's 1533-position model. The record is from RNAcentral.